RNAcentral lists this ribosomal RNA (465 nucleotides) under Vreelandella stevensii. Its description in RNAcentral is "partial 16S ribosomal RNA". It matches the Rfam family "Bacterial small subunit ribosomal RNA", at positions 338 to 795 of the family's 1533-position model. Lineage: Bacteria; Pseudomonadati; Pseudomonadota; Gammaproteobacteria; Oceanospirillales; Halomonadaceae. The record is from RNAcentral.
CCUACGGGUGGCAGCAGUGGGGAAUAUUGGACAAUGAGGGCAACCCUGAUCCAGCCAUGCCGCGUGUGUGAAGAAGGCCCUCGGGUUGUAAAGCACUUUCAGUGAGGAAGAACGCCUGGUGGUUAAUACCCAUCAGGAAAGACAUCACUCACAGAAGAAGCACCGGCUAACUCCGUGCCAGCAGCCGCGGUAAUACGGAGGGUGCGAGCGUUAAUCGGAAUUACUGGGCGUAAAGCGCGCGUAGGUGGCUUGAUAAGCCGGUUGUGAAAGCCCCGGGCUCAACCUGGGAACGGCAUCCGGAACUGUCAAGCUAGAGUGCAGGAGAGGAAGGUAGAAUUCCCGGUGUAGCGGUGAAAUGCGUAGAGAUCGGGAGGAAUACCAGUGGCGAAGGCGGCCUUCUGGACUGACACUGACACUGAGGUGCGAAAGCGUGGGUAGCAAACAGGAUUAGAUACCCUAGUAGUC